ACUGUACUAAACUAACUAAAGUGGGGGAUAGUGAGGGGAUAAAUUUCCUUAAGGAACUCGGCAAAAUCCCAAUGGCCCACCAGGGCAUUUAACUUUUGUAGCAAGGUAUCAAGGUACCUUCUACGAAGGUGGGGACCUCCACCCUAACGGGUGGCGGUUCCUUGGAUUGGAACACGGGCCUCGACUGUUUACCAAAAACAUAGCCCUCGGCCAAUAUGAAAAUAGAAGUAUGGAGGGUGAGGCCUGCCCAAUGGUUGUAUCUAAAAGCGGCUGAUGAAAGUCGGUCUCGUAAGGACAAUUGAAUGGCCGCGGUAACACUGACCGUGAUAAUGUAGCGUAAUCAAUAGCCAAUUAAUUGUUGGCCAGUAUGAAUGGCGCCACGAAGGCCCCACUGUCUUAAGGAAAUUCCCAGUGAAAUUGAAUUCGUAGUGAAGAUGCUACGUCCAAUUUGUUAGACGAAAAGACCCCGUUGAGCUUUACUGGGGCACUUACACUGCCCCCGCCUGCGAGACUAGGCCAAGGCUUACCAUACCUAGGGACUGGCUGAAUUGAAAUGGGUGGCUUAGACUAUGUGGCAGCCCCCCCCGUCGGGGCAGAUGAAACCCCACUCCCCCAUGUCAAAGGGGCUAACCCCCCCCCCUUGGGGGGCACAGUGUAAGUAGGACAGUUUGGUUGGGGCGACCGCCUUUUAGAGAGUAACGAAGGUGCGCUUAAGGUGCGCAAUUAAUGACUGAAGCCUGACUGCGAGGGGGACACCCCGAGCAGACACCCCCAAGCCCGCCCGCCCAGAAGGCGAUGCAACAAGGACAGAGACUUUGUCUCUGUGCCUUUAGCCUUCUGGGAGGGCGGCGGUGGGGUGGGCCAUAGUGACCCGUUAAUUUAGAGUGGAAUAGUUAACGAUCAACGAAUAAAAGUUACCACGGGGAUAACAGCGUAAU
RNAcentral lists this ribosomal RNA (938 nucleotides) under Zibrowius sp. SS-2014b. RNAcentral's name for it is "partial 16S ribosomal RNA". It matches the Rfam family "Bacterial large subunit ribosomal RNA", at positions 1641 to 2486 of the family's 2925-position model. The record is from RNAcentral. Lineage: Eukaryota; Metazoa; Cnidaria; Anthozoa; Zoantharia; Parazoanthidae.